RNAcentral lists this ribosomal RNA (764 nucleotides) under Bacillus subtilis. Its description in RNAcentral is "bacterial SSU rRNA". It matches the Rfam family "Bacterial small subunit ribosomal RNA", at positions 594 to 1369 of the family's 1533-position model. Lineage: Bacteria; Bacillati; Bacillota; Bacilli; Caryophanales; Bacillaceae. The record is from RNAcentral.
GGCGCGAUUUAUUUGAUGAAAGCCCGGUCACCCGGAGGUCUUGAUACUGGGAACUGAUUCAGAGGGGAAGCGAUUCCACGGAGCGUGAUUGGGAGGAUGGAGAGCACCAGUGGCGAGGGCGACUCUCUGGUCGUAACCGACGGUGAGAGUGAAAGCGUGGGAGCGACCUGGAUAAGAUGCCUGGUAGUCCAUGCAGUAAACGAUGAGUGUUAAGUGGAGGGGGUCUCCGCCCUUUAGCGCUGCAGUUAACGCAUUAAGCACUCCGCCUGGGGAGUACGGUCGCAAGAUUGAAAUUCAAAGGAAUAGACGGGGGCCCGCACAAGCGGUGGAGCAUGUGGUUUAAUUCGAAGCAACGCGAAGAACCUCACCAGGUCUUGACAUCCUCUGACAAUCCGAGAGAUAGGACGUCCCCUUCGGGGGCAGAGUGACAGGUGGUGCAUGGUGUGUCUGUCAGCUCGUGUCGUGAGAUGUUGGGUUAAGUCCCGCAACGAGCGCAACCCGUGAUUUUAGUAGCCAGCAUUCAGUUGGGCACUAUAAGGUGACCGCCGGUGACAAACCGGAGGAAGGUGGGGAUGACGUCAAAUCAUCAUGCCCCUUAUGACAUGGGGUACACACAUGCUACAAUGGACAGAACAAAGGGCAGCGAAACCGCGAGGUUAAGCCAAUCCCACAAAUCUGUUGUCAGUUCGGAUCGCAGUCUGCAACUAGACAUGCGUGAAGCAGGAAUCGCCCGUAAUCGCGGAUCAGCAUGCCGCGGUGGAAAA